ACAAGUACCGUGAGGGAAAGUUGAAAAGUACUUUGAAAAGAGAGUGCAAGAGAACGUGAAACCGGUGUAAUGGAAGCAGAUGGAGUUGACGUAUCUGGCAUGUAUUCAGUUGUUGGUCAUGGCGAUUGCUGUGCUUGUCGUUCCGCAAGGUCGGCGGUACGGUAUUGUCGUUGUGGCUUGCGAUGCAUUUGCGUGCGGAGUGCGCCGAGUUGCGUGGUGGCGUCAAUCGAAGCGUCUCGAGAGGCCACGGCUUUCGGGCUGUGAAACCUUGAUGCGUGUAGGUUGGUUGCUACUGCGUAAUUUUGUGGAAGUGCGGGUUUUUCGCGGGUUCGCGCGUUGAUUUGGUCGGUUUGCGUCGUACGCAUGCGUGCUGCGCUUAUGGAUUAGGUCGGCGUGUGAGCUUGCACUGCGCUCUUCUCGGUGUAUAGUCAAUGACCCACCUGACCCGUCUUGAAACACGGACCAAGGAGUUUAUGGUAUACGCGAGUCAUUGGGCUUCUAAACCCAAAGGCGUAAUGAAAGUGAGAUCUUAUUGGUUUUAAUGUGAUCGGUCGUUGUUUCGACGGCGGCCGAGCAACAUUGCCCCGUUUCGAGGACUUGUCCUGUUGCGGAGGUUGAGCGUAUGCUAUGAGACCCGAAAGAUGGUGAACUAUGCCUGAACAGGAUGAAGCCAGAGGAAACUCUGGUGGAAGUCCGAAGCGGUUCUGACGUGCAAAUCGAUCGUCUGAUUUUGGUAUAGGGGCGCAAGACUAAUCGAACCAUCUAGUAGCUGGUUCCUUCCGA
RNAcentral lists this ribosomal RNA (783 nucleotides) under Bursaphelenchus sp. t YF-2022. Its description in RNAcentral is "partial large subunit ribosomal RNA". It matches the Rfam family "Eukaryotic large subunit ribosomal RNA", at positions 344 to 964 of the family's 3401-position model. Lineage: Eukaryota; Metazoa; Nematoda; Chromadorea; Rhabditida; Aphelenchoididae. The record is from RNAcentral.